AGAGUUUGAUCAUGGCUCAGGACGAACGCUGGCGGCGUGCUUAACACAUGCAAGUCGAACGAGGUCCAAGGAGUAGCAAUACUCCUGAAGACUUAGUGGCGAACGGGUGAGUAACACGUGAGCAACCUGCCCCGAAGACCGGGAUAACAGCGGGAAACCGCUGCUAAUACCGGAUGUCCCCAUCGGACCACAUGGCCUGAUGAGGAAAUGGAUUCCGCUUCGGGAGGGGCUCGCGGCCUAUCAGCUUGUUGGUGGGGUAACGGCCCACCAAGGCGACGACGGGUAGCUGGUCUGAGAGGACGAUCAGCCACACUGGGACUGAGACACGGCCCAGACUCCUACGGGAGGCAGCAGUGGGGAAUAUUGCGCAAUGGGCGAAAGCCUGACGCAGCAACGCCGCGUGAGGGAUGAAGGCCUUCGGGUUGUAAACCUCUUUCGAGCAGGGACGAUAAUGACGGUACCUGCAGAAGAAGCUCCGGCCAACUACGUGCCAGCAGCCGCGGUAAUACGUAGGGAGCGAGCGUUGUCCGGAUUCAUUGGGCGUAAAGAGCUCGUAGGCGGCUUGAUAAGUCGGAUGUGAAACCUCCAGGCUUAACCUGGAGUCGCCAUCCGAUACUGUCAUGGCUAGAGUCCGGUAGGGGCCCACGGAACUCCUGGUGUAGCGGUGAAAUGCGCAGAUAUCAGGAAGAACACCGGUGGCGAAGGCGGUGGGCUGGGCCGGCACUGACGCUGAGGAGCGAAAGCGUGGGGAGCGAACAGGAUUAGAUACCCCCGUAGUCC
This 780-nucleotide ribosomal RNA is filed under the name uncultured bacterium. Its description in RNAcentral is "bacterial SSU rRNA". It matches the Rfam family "Bacterial small subunit ribosomal RNA", at positions 8 to 796 of the family's 1533-position model. The record is from RNAcentral.